This 315-nucleotide small RNA is filed under the name Histoplasma ohiense. RNAcentral describes it as "hypothetical lncRNA". The record is from RNAcentral. Lineage: Eukaryota; Fungi; Ascomycota; Eurotiomycetes; Onygenales; Ajellomycetaceae.
AACUAACUAGGGUCCGCUUCAUUGGCAAGCUGCCAAUCGUGACAAGCCCAGAUCAUCAUGACCGAUCACGAUCCUCAUCACGAUUUCCCCCAGGGCCAUCAGCACUGAUCACUACUGAUCACUGAUCACUGAUGAUCAGACGUCAUUCCUCGCAACCGAACAACCAGCUGGGCAUCCACUGAUUGGACCCGAGGCAAACAUCCCCCGAAACGCCCACACGCCCACGCCCUGCCCCGGCCACCUGGCGCGCCGUCACACACAGCUCGCACCAUGGGACGACGAAAGCUGAAGGAGGGUUCCACAGCAUGAACAGAC